GCCGGACGCGGUGGCGCGCGCCUGUAGUCCCAGCUACUCGGGAGGCUGAGACGGGAGGAUCGCUUGAGCCCAGGAGUUCUGGGCUGUAGUGCGCUAUGCCGAUCGGGUGUCCGCACUAAGUUCGGCAUCAAUAUGGUGACCUCCCGGGAGCGGGGGACCACCAGGUUGCCUAAGGAGGGGUGAACCGGCCCAGGUCGGAAACGGAGCAGGUCAAAACUCCCGUGCUGAUCAGUAGUGGGAUCGCGCCUGUGAAUAGCCACUGCACUCCAGCCUGGGCAACAUAGCGAGACCCCGUCUCU
This 299-nucleotide signal recognition particle RNA is filed under the name Microcebus murinus (gray mouse lemur). RNAcentral describes it as "Metazoan signal recognition particle RNA (ENSMICG00000042777.1)". It matches the Rfam family "Metazoan signal recognition particle RNA". Rfam says of the family: The signal recognition particle (SRP) is a universally conserved ribonucleoprotein. It is involved in the co-translational targeting of proteins to membranes. The record is from RNAcentral. Lineage: Eukaryota; Metazoa; Chordata; Mammalia; Primates; Cheirogaleidae.